AAAACAUCGCCUCCUGCAACACAACCAAGUAUAGGAGGUCCAGCCUGCCCAGUGACUACAAGUUCAACGGCCGCGGUAUUUUGACCGUGCAAAGGUAGCGCAAUCACUUGUCUUUUAAAUAGAGACCUGUAUGAAUGGCUAAACGAGGGCUUAACUGUCUCCCAUUUCCAGUCAGUGAAAUUGAUCUGCCCGUGCAGAAGCGGACAUAAUAAUACAAGACGAGAAGACCCUUUGGAGCUUAAGGUACAAAAUUCAACCAUGUCAAGCAACUAACUAUAAAGCAAAAACCUUAUGGAACCUGAAAUUUUACCUUCGGUUGGGGCGACCACGGAGGAAAAACUAGCCUCCAAGUGGACUGGGAUAAAUCUCCUAAAACCAAGAGAAACACCUCUAAGCCACAGAACAUCUGACCAAACAUGAUCCGGCCACCAAAGCCGAUCAACGAACCAAGUUACCCUAGGGAUAACAGCGCAAUCCUCUCCCAGAGUCCAUAUCGACGAGAGGGUUUACGACCUCGAUGUUGGAUCAGGACAUCCUAAUGGUGCAGCCGCUAUUAAGGGUUCGUUUGUUCAACGAUUAAAGUCCUACGUGA
Molecule: ribosomal RNA, 592 nt
Filed under: Thynnichthys thynnoides
Lineage: Eukaryota; Metazoa; Chordata; Actinopteri; Cypriniformes; Cyprinidae
Description: partial 16S ribosomal RNA
Rfam family: Bacterial large subunit ribosomal RNA
Source: RNAcentral